AGGAACAAUAUUCAGGCUGAAUGCUUUAGUAAAUGAAGAGCUCCAUAUAGAACAGAAACACAUUACGGUUUCCUGGAAAAUGAUUACAAAGAGAACAAGUUUGGGAUUGCCUUGAGAAACAUCUUUACAGGGGCAUAUAAAGAUGAAUGUUCAGUUUCUUGACAAUCUGGGUUAAAAUAAAACACAGAUGUCAGUAGAAGAGGAAAGUUUUCUAAACCUGGUACUUCAAGAAGGCCCUAGGCCAGAGCAAUUUGUAAACAUGCACUAGAAGCCAAUAUUUUACUAGAAGCCAAUAUUUUAU
Notechis scutatus (mainland tiger snake) is the source of this 301-nucleotide non-coding RNA. Lineage: Eukaryota; Metazoa; Chordata; Lepidosauria; Squamata; Elapidae. The record is from RefSeq and is a predicted model, not a curated record.